UUGCCAGCCCGCUACAGAAACUUAAAGGAAUUGACGGGGCCCGCACAAGCGGAGGAGCAUGUGGUUUAAUUCGAUGAUACGCGAGGAACCUUACCUGGGCUCGAACGUAAGAUGACUGUAGGUGAAAGCUUACAUCUCUUCGGAGCAUUUUACGAGGUGCUGCAUGGUUGUCGUCAGCUCGUGCCGUGAGGUGUCGGGUUAAGUCCCAUAACGAGCGCAACCCUACCUUUAGUUGCCAUCAGGUAAUGCUGGGGACUCUAAAGGAACUGCCUACGCAAGUAGUGAGGAAGCGGGGAUGACGUCAAAUCAGCACGGCCCUUACGUCCAGGGCUACACACGUGCUACAAUGGCCGAUACAGAGGGCAGCUACCUGGUGACAGGAUGCAAAUCUCCAAAGUCGGUCUCAGUUCGGAUCGGAGUCUGCAACCCGACUCCGUGAAGUUGGAUUCGCUAGUAAUCGCGCAUCAGCCAUGGCGCGGUGAAUACGUUCCCGGGCCUU
RNAcentral lists this ribosomal RNA (499 nucleotides) under uncultured Sphingobacteriales bacterium. Its description in RNAcentral is "bacterial SSU rRNA". It matches the Rfam family "Bacterial small subunit ribosomal RNA", at positions 903 to 1382 of the family's 1533-position model. The record is from RNAcentral. Lineage: Bacteria; Pseudomonadati; Bacteroidota; Sphingobacteriia; Sphingobacteriales.